AGCAGCCGCGGUAAUUCCAGCUCCAAUAGCGUAUAUUAAAGUUGUUGCAGUUAAAAAGCUCGUAGUUGAAUUUCGGGGUUCUACCGUUGGUCAGGCUUUGUCUGUACUGGCGUGUAGAAUUUCUACCUUCUGGGGAACCAUCAUGUUAUUAAUUUAGUGUGAUGGGAAACCAGGACCUUUACCUUGAAAAAUUAGAGUGUUCAAAGCAGGCUUAUGUCUGAAUACAUUAGCAUGGAAUAAUAGAAUAGGACGGUGGUCCUGUUUUGUUGGUUUCUGAAUCACCGUAAUGAUUAAUAGGGAUAGUUGGGGGCAUUAGUAUUCAAUUGUCAGAGGUGAAAUUCUUGGAUUUAUUGAAGACUAACUUCUGCGAAAGCAUUUGCCAAGGAUGUUUUCAUUAAUCAAGAACGAAAGUUAGGGGAUCGAAGACGAUCAGAUACCGUCGUAGUCUUAACCAUAAACUAUGCCGACUAGGGAUCGGACGAUGUUAACUUUUCUUGACUCGUUCGGCGCCUUACGGGAA
This 520-nucleotide ribosomal RNA is filed under the name uncultured Scutellospora. Its description in RNAcentral is "SSU rRNA". It matches the Rfam family "Eukaryotic small subunit ribosomal RNA", at positions 569 to 1096 of the family's 1831-position model. Lineage: Eukaryota; Fungi; Glomeromycota; Glomeromycetes; Diversisporales; Gigasporaceae. The record is from RNAcentral.